GAUGAAGAACGUAGCGAAAUGCGAUACUUGGUGUGAAUUGCAGAAUCCCGUGAACCAUCGAGUCUUUGAACGCAAGUUGUGCCCGAAGCCAUUAGGCCGAGGGCACGCCUGCCUGGGCGUCACACGUCGUUGCCCCCCCCCAUCUACUCCUUCGGGAUUGCGGGGGGCGGAUGAUGGCCUCCCGUGCGCCUCGCCGCGCGGUUGGCAUAAAUGCCAAGUCCUCGGCGACGCACGCCACGACAAUCGGUGGUUGCGAAACCUCGGUUGCCCGUCGUGUGCGGUCGUCGCGCAUCGAGGGCUCGAAAAAAUUGCCGAGUUCCGGCUCGGCUUUCAACGCGACCCCAGGUCAGGCGGGGUUACCCGCUGAAUUUAAGCAUAUCAAUAAGCGGAGGA
This 393-nucleotide unclassified non-coding RNA is filed under the name soil metagenome. RNAcentral describes it as "partial contains 5.8S ribosomal RNA, internal transcribed spacer 2, and large subunit ribosomal RNA". The stretch from base 1 to 122 matches the Rfam family "5.8S ribosomal RNA", at positions 35 to 154 of the family's 154-position model. The record is from RNAcentral.